GCCUGGAUGGCGGAACAGGUAGACGCAAGGGACUUAAAAUCCCUUGGGGCUAAGUCCCCGUGCCGGUUCGAUUCCGGCUCCAGGCACCA
Molecule: transfer RNA, 89 nt
Filed under: Desulfobacterales bacterium CG23_combo_of_CG06-09_8_20_14_all_52_9
Lineage: Bacteria; Pseudomonadati; Thermodesulfobacteriota; Desulfobacteria; Desulfobacterales
Description: tRNA-Leu
Rfam family: tRNA
About the family: Transfer RNA (tRNA) molecules are approximately 80 nucleotides in length. Their secondary structure includes four short double-helical elements and three loops (D, anti-codon, and T loops).
Source: RNAcentral